This 468-nucleotide ribosomal RNA is filed under the name uncultured bacterium. Its description in RNAcentral is "partial 16S ribosomal RNA". It matches the Rfam family "Bacterial small subunit ribosomal RNA", at positions 28 to 507 of the family's 1533-position model. The record is from RNAcentral.
GACGAACGCUGGCGGCGUGCUUAACACAUGCCAGUCGAACGGAAAGGCCCUGCUUUUGUGGGGUGCUCGAGUGGCGAACGGGUGAGUAACACGUGAGUAACCUGCCCUUGACUUUGGGAUAACUUCAGGAAACUGGGGCUAAUACCGGAUAGGAGCUCCUGCUGCAUGGUGGGGGUUGGAAAGUUUCGGCGGUUGGGGAUGGACUCGCGGCUUAUCAGCUUGUUGGUGGGGUAGUGGCUUACCAAGGCUUUGACGGGUAGCCGGCCUGAGAGGGUGACCGGCCACAUUGGGACGGAGAUAGGGCCCAGACUCCUACGGGAGGCAGCAGUGGGGAAUAUUGAACAAUGGGCGGAAGCCUGAUGCAGCAACGCCGCGUGCGGGAUGACGGCCUUCGGGUUGUAAACCGCUUUCGCCUGUGACGAAGCGUGAGUGACGGUAAUGGGUAAAGAAGCACCGGCUAACUACGUG